GACGAACGCUGGCGGCGUGCCUAAUACAUGCAAGUCGAACGCUUCUUUCCUCCCGAGUGCUCGCACUCAAUUGGAAAGAGGAUUGGCGGACGGGUGAGUAACACGUGGGUAACCUACCCAUCAGAGGGGGAUAACACUUGGAAACAGGUGCUAAUACCGCAUAACAGUUUAUGCCGCAUGGCAUAAGAGUGAAAGGCGCUUUCGGGUGUCGCUGAUGGAUGGACCCGCGGUGCAUUAGCUAGUUGGUGCGGUAACGGCUCACCAAGGCCACGAUGCAUAGCCGACCUGAGAGGGUGAUCGGCCACACUGGGACUGAGACACGGCCCAGACUCCUACGGGAGGCAGCAGUAGGGAAUCUUCGGCAAUGGACGAAAGUCUGACCGAGCAACGCCGCGUGAGUGAAGAAGGUUUUCGGAUCGUAAAACUCUGUUGUUAGAGAAGAACAAGGACGUUAGUAACUGAACGUCCCCUGACGGUAUCUAACCAGAAAGCCACGGCUAACUACGUG
This 508-nucleotide ribosomal RNA is filed under the name uncultured bacterium. RNAcentral describes it as "partial 16S ribosomal RNA". It matches the Rfam family "Bacterial small subunit ribosomal RNA", at positions 28 to 507 of the family's 1533-position model. The record is from RNAcentral.